UACGUAGGGUGCGAGCGUUAAUCGGAAUUACUGGGCGUAAAGUGUGCGUAGGCGGCGUUGUAAGUAGAGUGUGAAAUCCCCGAGCUUAACUUGGGAAUUGCGCUCGAAACUACGAUGCUAGAGUGUGGCAGAGGAAGGUGGAAUUCCACGUGUAGCGGUGAAAUGCGUAGAGAUGUGGAGGAACACCGAUGGCGAAAGCAGCCUUCUGGACCAACUCUGACGCUCAUGCACGAAAGCGUGGGGAGCAAACAGG
This 253-nucleotide ribosomal RNA is filed under the name uncultured bacterium. Its description in RNAcentral is "partial 16S ribosomal RNA". It matches the Rfam family "Bacterial small subunit ribosomal RNA", at positions 524 to 776 of the family's 1533-position model. The record is from RNAcentral.